Molecule: long non-coding RNA, 10789 nt
Filed under: Gallus gallus (chicken)
Lineage: Eukaryota; Metazoa; Chordata; Aves; Galliformes; Phasianidae
Source: RNAcentral
GACAGACUUCAAAACAUGAUGAGGAAGGUGGAACGUAACUGUUGCCCACUUUGCAACUUUAUGAUUUGCUGCUGUUUCAUGUGAGGUAUUUUUUAAACCAUCCUUCAGUUGUGUGAUGAAUAAGUCAUAUCCCUCUGUGCUAGAAACAUCUACUUUUUCUAUGCAAGCAGAUAACAGCUGCUGAGCCUCUGUAACUGGCAAUUCAAGCUGAACCACAUCAUCUUGUUUUGAAACAGGUGUUUGCAGAGCUGUGUCUAACAAUAAGAUGCCGUUGAGAUCUUUCCUACAUCCUACUGCAUAAUCGUCCACAAAGAUCACUUUAUCCACAGCAGAAAUAUACUGACAUUUCACCCGUCCACCUGGUUUAGCGUUGAGGGCCGAGGCCUGCAGCGUGGCCCCCGACGUGCCGUCGAUGACUUUGAUGGCGCCGCGCGCGGUCACGGCCAGGAUGGCGUUGAGCGCCGGGUGGUAGCACAGGCUGCACAGCCCGUCGGCGUCGCAGCGCAGGCAGCCGUCCCGCAGCAGCAGCCACUCGCAGGAGCCCGGCCCGGCCGACGCCGGCCCCGGUCCGGGCCCAGCGGGAGCCGCCGCGGAGCAGGAGGCCGCCGCCGCCGCCAUGUUGCCGGCCGCCGCCGCCGCCGCCCUCAGCACAAGAGGCCCGGGGCCGCUCAGUGACAGGCCCGGCCGCCGCCAGUCACCAUCCGGGUCCGGUGAGAGGGGGAAAGGGAGAGCGCCAGCGUGAGCGGGAAGUGACGCAAUCGCGCCGGAUGCGGAACCGAGCGCGGGUCUGAGAGCGGGAGGAGGGAAGGAGCGAUCGCCCGUCACAGAGAAUGGCGGGCGGGAAGGAACUGAGGGGCGGGGCUGGGCCGCGCGCGCUGCCUCCGAAGGGCGCGAGCCUCCCGCGCGCCGCCGGGCCGCUCGCGCGCGCGCGCAGGGCCACACCGCCUGACGGCGGCGGCAGCUCCGCCCCCGGCGGGAGGGCGGCGGCCGCGCCUCGUGCCGAGCCCUCUCCGGCGCGCCGUUAGCUCUUUGGGUAAAAGAUCGGCCCGCGCGACGCUCCUCGGCGCGCGCUCUUCUCGCGCUGGGAGAACGGUGCGGGAACUCCCGGGGGAGUCCGCCGGGCGCCGGGAGCGCGAGGGCGCCUCUGGGUGGGAGGUGCCGCUCCGCGCGCCGCUGUCGCGCCAGCGGCCGCCUGUAAGCGGGCUUCGAAAACGCCAGGUUUUGUGCCGCCCUAGUGGCGGGCGGCCUCCGGUGCCCGCCUGGCGUCGGAGCCGGCGCUACGAAGGCGUUGGAGCCCUUCGGCCCUCAGUGCCGCGGGCUUCAGCAACAGCGCUUCCCCGCGCAGGAACGACUUUAUCAAAGGAUUCGAAUUAACAGACGUUAAUAGUGGGAAAACAAGUUCAGAAAGUGCCCGUGUCUCCAAGCCAGAGCGAGGGCUUCCGUGUAAUGUCCGUGUGGGUGUGCAGGUGAGAACUGCUCAGUUUCCAUGCAGCAAAGAGCACGUGGCUGUUGUGCAUCUCCAUCUUGACGUCAGGUGCUCCAUCUCGAGCAGGCCCAUGAUGCAGGUAGGUAGCACACGUCCAUGCGUGACAAAUAAAGGCUGUAUGUUGAUUAUGGCCAGCAUCUAUUUAUUGUCACAAAGCUUGGGAUGGGUGACAGGGAUAGGAACAGAGAUGUGCCUUAAUAAGUAUACAUUACAUAAACAGGUUUAAUGAAAAACUUUUAUAAAAUACAUCUUGUACUUACACAUACCUUAUCUAAAAAUAAGUUUAUUGAAUGCAAAGUUAUUACAAACCAUGAGAACCGUUUGAGCUGUUUGUACAUAUUUUUGCACAGCGUAUGCAAAAGGUGACCCUAAGGAUGCCGAGUAGAAGGUGCAAAUCUGCAAUUGCGUACAAAAUACGUACUGUUGUGCAUAUUGACAUUGCAUAUGACAUGUGCCCAAUCUGCCAAAAGGAACACUGAAGUUGCAGCUAUCAGUUCCACAGAACGCCAAUAGAGAGGAAACGAAGGUGUUUGAAGACAAAAUAGAACGCUGCGGCGUCCUCAAUAUUUAUAGUCAUUUCAGACGCACGGGUCUAUUAUGAACACCAACAGAAGAGCUGUGCACAGAGGAGGUGAGCCAAAAGCUCUCUGACAGCCCAGUAAGCUACGUGCAUCCUUACCCCUCACAUUUGCGGUGGCAUAAGGUGUGAACUCUCAGUGUUUGUCUGGAGUCUUACAGCCUGGCACUCCUGAUUGAAAAACACAGCCAUGAAAGAGGUAAGACCAGAUUAUUAUUCAAGGUUAUCAAGGUAGUGUGCAUCACUUCAACUUUUCUUUUUUGUUAAGUAGGGAAUGAGUAUUCUCAAAAUACUUCCGGAUAAGAACUAAGCUGCCAGCAUAAUUGGUUUAUUAUGACUACAGCAAUUCUACCAAAACUUCCACAGAAGUCAAAAAUUAGGUGAAAAGUCCAGUCGCUCCACCAGUUUGUGUCCUUUAAUGUAUUACAAGCUAGAAUUAUGUUACAGUUUACGUCCAGUAUCAACGUCCAGUAGUUUUGUUUCAAACCAACGCAAGCAUCAGCCAGAAGAGCAGUCCAAGUAAGCUAAAGGAUCACAGUAGAAUUGGAAUUUACAUAUGUAUUUUGCAUCAACAAUGAGUGGUAAAAACAAGUUGCUAAAAUGGCAAGUUACGCCAUCGAAAAAGCUGAGAAACUUCGGAUAAGGAAAUACAUCCAUUAGGGAUGAAAGACGGGCCUUGCCUUACCUUUGAUGGGUGAUUUUUAUUUCCUGCAUUGGGGUGGGGGGGAGGACAAAAAAAAGGCUAUGGAAAUGCUUCCCCCAACCAAAAGAUUAAAAAAAGAUACUUCAGAUCUAAAUGGUAACACUAAGUACUGAAGGCUGCAAACAACUAAGUACCAUGCAAAGUGAACUUCAGUGGAGCUUCCUUGUGAAGAAACGUUACCGUUAGGACUAUUACAUAAGCAGUCAACACAGUACACAGGAAAUAUUUAACGUCAUCACAUUAUUACAUAAUCCUUGGAUAGUCAAAAUUAGCAAGACUGUUACUGAGGCUGCAGUUCUAGCUCUUCUCCUUGGGGGGACGGGGAAGAAUCUGGCCUUACAAGCAUCAUUACUUUUUGCAAGGGAUCAACCUUGGGAAAAAAAUAUAUGCAGGUUAAAUGUUAUUACUAUUAAAACAAAUAGAGUAAGAUGUUAUAAAAUAUAGUUAGGGAAGCAUUCUUUUUAUUUUGUCAUCAUAAAACAUUGUUUCAAGAGCACACAAAUUGGAUAGGUCAUCUUUUUUUCCCCCUCUGACACUAAGCCAGCACUACAGUUGAGGAAGGCGCUCACCUAUUUCUUUGCAAAUUUAAAACUUGAGUAAAUUAAUUUGAGUCUCGAAAGAAGCAACUGAAUGAUUUAUGCUACACAGCAAGUGCCUUGCUCCUCUGCUCAGAGAUGGUAAAUGAAGACCUCAAACACUUGUAUUUUCAAAUGUUAAAAACCCAAUAUACACCCUUAACCAAGGAGUACUUAUGCUACACGCAAGUCAUAGAUACAAAAUACACAGUAUGUACAUCUUUUGGAAACAAAUUGGAAUUUAUAAAAACUCAAGAGCCAAAUCAAAGUAAUUGAGGCACUAAAUUAUAAGUAGUAUCUUCAUGUCUUCAUUAUACAGCCUAUUCUGUGAACAAUAAGGACUGUUUAAUAAAUAUAUAUAUUAUCUACAGAAUCUGCUGUGCCAAAAAAGCCAGCUGUUUAAGCUCAAAAGAAAAAAUUGCACUUUGAGAUUGUUACAAUUAACUUAUUUUUCUCCUCUAAUAUAGUAAUCUGGUCCUGGUGCUUUUGGCACAGGUAUAGAGUUGUGGUUUUGCUACGCUUUUGUUUUUAUGUUUUUUAUAAAACACAAGGUCUUUUAUUUUGUUCAUUAAAAUCUGAAGAGUCUUAAACAAACCUAGAACUUUGAUACAAAUCUAUAUAGCUACAAUUACUUCAUUAAAUAAUAUACACAAAUAUGCUCUUCAAUCUUAAAACAUCUUGACAACUGGAUACAAAACAGUCACUUGUGUUAUUUCCAGCCUCCUUAAUCUUACGCGUUAUCAGUCUGCAAGUGAAGAAAACAUGGGUUUUGGCCACAUCUCUCACUAGAUCACACCCCAGUGUACAAGGACAGGAAAUAAAUGUAUAAUAAAAAGAUGGGAUAAAUUAGAAGGGGCUUCUUGGUCUUGAAUUCUUCUCCGACUAGUAAAGAUGCAGCGCUGUAUGCAGCCCAAAAGACUCCAAACAGCUGAAAAAGAAAACAAACGGUCUUAGCUGAUGCCAUUAGGAAAUUGCUCAGAAUUAAAAAGAACAAGCGUUACUUUCAACAUAAUUAGAAAUGUACAGCUUUGUGUGGAAGGAAGAAAAUAAUAAAGCAAGCCUCACAAACAAUACUUCUGAGCCCACACAUGCAAUAAUACGCUAUCAAUAAUCACUUAAGUCUUGGGAAGUAUUUAACAGAGGUGUGUUACUUUAGUCUAAAGACAACAUUUCUACCGAGGCAAGCAGCUAACGUACACUUAGUUUUCUCUAAUGUAAGACACAUGGAUAAUGCAAGUUGUAAGCUUCUUCAACUCAAAAAACACUGAUUAUUUUUCUCUGAAGAAAAAGAUUGCCAUGCUCGACUCUUCCUCCUAUGACACGUACCAGAGGGUUAAAUUGCCCUUUUUUUACUUCAGAAUUUGUCUGACUCAUAAGCUUCACUUUAAUUAUGAGCCCCCAACUUAAAGUAACUAAAACUUUAUGUUCCUAUGCCUUUCAGGUGCAGUGAGAAGCUACCCAGAAUAGAAUCUGUAUCAAACACCUGAUUGCUUCCUCAGUUAAUAACUAACCAUUUCAAAAGACUUGCAGAAAUUAUCAUUACGUGUAAAUAUUCACUAUGUUACAUGUAGUCAGUCCACCUACUUUUUAAAACUUUAUUUUUAAAAGCCUUCAGGUCGGUGAAUUUGACACAAGUCUCAAGCUAAUAAGGUCACAGCAAAAAUAAUGGGACAUCUUUUAUCCUCAAGCAACAACUUGAAUAUUAAUGAAAAAGGAAAAGCACCCAUUUCCUGCAAACAGCAAGGCCAAAGGUCUGUUAUGUCUGCCCUUCACUGAACAGAAUCCCAGUAAAGAAUUUUUCCCACAGUGCUAUCAGAGAAGCUCAAGAUGCUUGAUGGAUUGUGUGACUGGCUCAACUGCCACUGCUAAAAAGAAACCAACCCCCACUGCAUACUUGUGCUUGAGCUGCCUCAACUGGGACUGAUACAUGUGUACAUGUGUACACACACACAUAUACAUACACAUUAUAUAUAUAUAUAUUCCUGAUUUCCCUGAAUUCCCUUAUACAUUAAGAAAACUGCAGCAAAAAGCAAACAAAAAAAACGCAAUCAAGGUGCUUUACUUAAAUAGUUUACUUUGCUGACUGCAGCUGGAAGACAACUGACUAAUGCUGUUUCCCUACUUAAGUUCCCCAACUUUAAGACUGAGGAGUAUUUCCCCAGAACUCCUAAGCCAUAGGAAGUAGUACUUGUCACAGUGUAGGUAGUUUUGACCAUGUGGAGCUCGUCCUGCAUUUUCACACUAAUCAACCAAAAGUAAGGAACUUGUACAAGUUUGCCCUGAAGUUAAUAUAAGGCUAUUAAUAGCAAUCAGGUAACAGAAGUUUCAUGAACUACUUGUAUUUAUUUUUAAGUUACACAUUAGUUAACUGCCAAGUUAAUAAUUUGCUUUCUGAAUCUAUCACCUAAUAGUAAUUGCAAGUUAUCGUAUCACAAGCAAAGCUAUUAUUCUGGUUUGUCAUACAGUUAGUUGCAUUUCAAUCAUACUGUAAACCAGCAAGCCAAUAGGACAGAAAUUAAUCAAAUCAUCAGAACAAGAUCUCAACAAGUUUCCUCAGUCAGCGCCAGAAGUUUAGCAAUGACUUCAGAAGCUAACUACAAGGGUUGUAUUAAGUGUUCAAGAACCUUAUGCACUUCUAUGAUCUAUCAGGGAAUGAUGCUAGUUUCAUAAAUGGUGCCCAACGGCAGGUAGCAUCAAGCACACCAUUUCUGCUUAGUGCCCCACAUCCUACGUCUGUAAAGCAAUAAGUAAAACUUGAUGACGGGGGAAGGGACAGAACAGCUUAUUUUCAGAUACUUCAUUUUGAUUUUUAAUUAUGCAUCCUUCUUUAAAAAUGAUAGUCCUAUUUAAUUUUUAAUGCAACUAAUAUAACGUGGCAAAACAGAAGCUAAGCUGACAAAAACAGGUGAUUUUAUAUUUCCCUGGGGACUGUACAUUCCCAAAAACUCAAAAGAAACAUUUAAAACAGAAUUUGCUUAGCAGCCAUAACCAAAAGAACCACAGAAUUCAGGUUAUAUUUCUAAGUAUUUUAACAUACGUUGUCCUGAAUGGAUUCAUACAUCAAAUGUUAGGAAAGUGUCUCAGAGUAACAGUAAACAAUUCUCAAUACAUGUUACUGAACUUACUUUUAUUAAGGUAGAAACCACUUCGAAUGAUCCAACCACCAGAAGUACAGGUGCUAUGACAAUGAGGGGAAGCAAGGAAUAUCCUAUCACACCAAGAACUUGGCCAUAAGCAACCUGGAAUUUUCAAGUGCAUAAAAACAAACUUUAGUACAAAAUGACUUUCAUCAAACAACUUUAUCCUGUUAUAACUGUAUGAGGAACCAUAACAAUGUGUUGACAAUUCAUGAAUUUUUAGCCAAAAGAAGAUUGCCAGCAUGCAAACUGUUUUUUCUAUUCAAUCUUCUAGAAUCCUGUAGUUAAUCUUCCUAAGAAACACAACUUGUUUUAAAAACCAAAACAAAUACAGCUUCAGAUGACAAUUUUAACACUUCCAAGGGAAGCAUAAGACCUACAUCACGAUCUAGAACCUGACAUACUAUGACUAGCUUAAACAGAUUUGUUCAAAGUACUUCCAAAACUGCUUUUAGCUUCAUGGUAUUAAGAUGUCGGAAUUUUCCCUAUGACAGUUGGAAACGUCCCUUGGCUCAGUUAGACUUCCUGGAUUUAACUUAGGAAAAAUAGCAGCAAGACAAGCAACUGUCUUUAAGCAACUUCUUGUGGCAGUACGUCCCCCACAAUCAACUCUGAACAGCUUUAGUGAUCCCCCUGCCCUUUCUCACCAGUUUAUACAUUCUGAUAACUUUACAUCUUAAGCCACAAAACCUACAGACUUAAAGGCAUCUGGAUUAUGCUGGUAUGCUAAAAUACCACGCAAUCACAUUCAUAAAAGCUUUUUCUUUCCAAGCACUUUUCAGACAAGAAGCCUUUAGCAAUUAUGAUUAAAGGGAAAACCUAAAAAGUAAAAAAUAAUAAAAAAAAAAACACCAAGCCACACUAAACUUAAAUAAUGUAGGAAGUCUGCAAAACUAGCUUAUCAUUAAUAGAAAAAUGCAUAGUAAAAAUAUGAAAAUUACUUAUCACUGAUAAUAAUAAGACAAUAAUGCAUUUUAAACUGCAAAUCCAUUUUCAGAAGUUUCUAUCCUCAUGACUGUUCCACAGUAGCUGUUUGAGGGCUUUGCUGUAAGCCAUGAUACUUUGUUUACACCUGAAUCACUCAAUGACUCAGUUUAUAAACACAGCUUUAACAGCUAUGCCAACCCUGCUGAUGCAAGCAGCUGGAGGGAGGGAUGUAGGCCAGAACUUCAAUUGGCUUUGCAGCUGAAGUACAUACACUGACUUUCAUCCCUUAAUGGGUUUUAACUCCAUCGGGCCAAGGAUGAAAACAAACACCAGUAGGUGCUCUGUACGAAAGGCCACUACACAACUGCUGCCAGCCAGUUUAAAAAAAAAAAGUGAAAUAAAUGGCCCCAUUGAGCUCAGUGUCUGAAAAAUGGAAAGCAUUUCAAGCAACUGACUUCAAGAAAGGAUUUCAGCUCUGGAUCAGAGGCACACAUAACAACCUCUCAGAUCUGCGGUAAGAAUCUGCAGAUUGUUUACCACAUCUGGCACUCCGUGCACUGCACAGCAAGAGUCGCUGCCCACUCCUAUAUUUUAGAUUCUACUCUGGUGACCAAGAACCUGAAAUCUAUGCACUGAAGUUUUCAAUUUCACCUAUUCUUAGGUGGCUACACUGUUGAAAAUCAAGCACUAAGAAAACGCAGCCAUUACUGAAAAACAUAGCCAAGAGAUUUUGAAAUUACCUCCCUCUACCAACUUUUCAUAUAUUAGAGGUACUUACUUCUCCUCCGAGAACCCUGGCCAGUAAAAAAAUUGUCAAGGAUCCAAAUAUCCAGAUAGUUAUAAUCCAAGAAACAACCUUAAAAUGGAAGGAACAAUUAAUUUAUAUUACUCUUUUUCACUGUAAGGAAGGACAAAUUAUAAAUCGCCUCAAUGCACUCAAGAGUUUUAUUACACAAAAUUAAGUUCUGAAUUGCAGCAAGCGUAGUUUUUUUCAGUAUCACAAUGGGGCUUGAAAACAAAAUUCAGAUGUUACAUUUACAAAACCACAGUAAUGGUAAGUUUGAUGAAGAAGGAACGCUUAAGUGGAGUUUUGUAAGUACUAUACUAUUGCAUCAGAGCAGGAUGAGGUUAGCUAAAAGUAAAGCUAAGAUCACUCUACUUAAACAUCUUCACUUCUUCAAAAAAAAUUGGCUCAGGUUUUUUGUUUGGUUGGUUUGCUUUUUGAUAUUUUCCUUAUGUCAGCCCAACCAGUACAAAGAGUUGAGAUUCUCCUUCCUUCAUCUAUAAAGACCAACUUAAUUCUUUUCUCAGACCAGGAAGACUCAGAAGAAGGCACGGGACUUUACAUUGUAAUCAUGAAGUUUUACCAAGAAUUAACAAACAGAUCCAGAGUCCUGGGAAAAAAAAAACAACUGUAAUUAUUUUCCUCCUUCUUUCACUGUUUCAGAAGUCUUAAAAUCAUUCUCCAGCUUAACAGAACCUUCAAAGUAACUUCGGUGUUCCUGGGGUUCAGUCACUGGGUGGGUAAGAAACAAAGCUCUCCCUUUUGAAAUACUUGUUUAGAUGGAAAUAAUAAUCUCAGUCCACUCUUCGUAUGUUUGACCAUGCCAUGGCAGCACUUAAAAAUGAAUAUUAGUACUCAACUCAAUUUUUUCCACAUAAGUUCCAGAUUUACAGAAGAAUCAAAAAGGGGAUGAAGGUACUUAUUUUUUAACUGAUAAAAAUAAUAUACCUUGGAAAAAAAAAUAGAUAAAUAUAACAUUGUUAUUUGUGAAAAUAGCACAUCCUCCUUCUACUUCCUGCUUUCCUCCACUGUCUAAAAGAAGAGAACCAGAUUAAAGUUUUAGAGCAGCAAUGCUCAUCUCUCUCCAGCUUACAGCCCACCUAGCUCAUCUAGCCUAGCUGCUGCCAUCCAUUCUGUUGCUAGCUACCAGCUUUCCUUUCUAACACAAAAAAGCACUCUUACAUCUAUAUGGUAAACCCAUGUUCCUAACGAACGUUAGACCCACUGUUCACACGCAGUAGAUACACAAACAAGAGUAGCACACUGAUCCAUCGUGGGAUUGAGGGAUUGUCCCUGCUUUGUCUAGAAAACAGCUAAGUGGUGCACCCAGAAGAUUUGAAUCCUAUGGGGUUUGUCACUCACUUCAAGUCUCACAGAAACAUGACAGAGUGAAUUCUUCAUCACCAUUUGUUAUACCAAAGGGAAGCCAGAGGCCACAGAGAGCCUUUCUCACCUUUCCCAAAAAUCCUAGCAUAGACAUACUCUGCUACUUUACAUAUAUGCCUUACUGCUAUUCUACACUGUAAUUAAAAAAUUCUGUAACUACACACAUAGUCAAAGAUUUCCAUAGAGGGAUGCAAUUAACUACUGGGCAAACAUCACCUAGGCUCACAGUCAAAUUGUGACUGUAAAUGAUAGCACUUCUCUAUUUCAUUCGAAUGUGAGGUUAACUGUUUAGAGAAGCCAAGUAAAUCUGCACAGUACCUUCAAAUAACUAUUCAGUCUUGAGUUCAAAAAGAAUUAUAUGCAAAUUCUAUUAACCAGAGGAAAGUUAUUGUAAUUGAGCACAGAGGACAAAAGAGUAACGUGCACUAAUGAAGACUAAACGUACCAGAAAACCGUUGCAAUAUAUCACAGAUUAAACAAAUAGCUUAAUCUGCUGGGAAAUUAGAAUUCAUGACAUCUACACAAACGUUCUUUGGUAUUGCUUUUAGUAAUAAAAAGCAAGUUAACAAAAGGUUACAACUAAAAUGGAAAGAUUCACUAAUGACUAUAAAUGUAUUAGCAUUGAUCUAUUUCCUCUAGAAACCACAUCUUUCUUUCAUUUUAUUAUAUAAAAAAGCCUGGCAUUUUAAUAAAGAUUAACUUUUCAGUAUGUUAUUUAAUAAAUUUCUUAUUGCUAUCUUUCUACAUCAUAAGUCAAGAAGCUAUAUUUAGAAUGCCCUACAUUAAUAUGUGAAGAAGAGACUUUCUGCCUACAUAAGAAUGCAAAUCACUUAGCAAUAAUGUCCCCAAAUUUAGUUCAGAUUUCUUUUUUAGGUAGAAGGUUUGUACCUACCUUAAAUUGUCCAUAUAAUGAAAUCAUUGAGAAGAAGAGGACAACUGCCAGAGGACCCCAGAAAUCUGGAUUGUCUCUCACUACCUGCCUAUUAAACCCAAGAGAUGGCAUAGGCAUCAACACACAUCGAAUUUUGUAGUAAAUAUCCUUCAGAUCAAUGUCGAGUUCUUCCAGGAGUGGCUUGUUAUCUUCUGGGUCAUCAUCUUCCACUUCCAGAAGCCAGCCAUACCCCCUCUGCCUCAGGAAUGUAGUUGCAGACGAUUCUUUGAUGAAUUCUCCUCCAAGAUUUAGCUUCACAUCUGGAGUUGUUAUGGAGCCACUC